GGGGGUGCCUUCUCCGGACACUUUGAGGGGGUGGGGAAUGCAGCUAGGGGAUGGCAGUGCGUCUCCCCUCACCUGCCGUUGGGAACGCUGAGACCGUUGAUAAUCUGUCUAUGAGAACCUGACAGCUUUUCCUGUUGAUACUUUCCCCUUCCCCCACACUCCCAGCGCCAUUGAAGCCCCAGAAAGGUAAUCUCAGCAGGGCCGCCAUUGCUUCAACAAAAACAGAGAUCACCCUGAACUACCAGAGUGCUGAGAGGACCUCAAUGGUGAGAAACCUUGAAUUCUGGACAAAGAUACUAAUAAGACCAUCGGGCACUCAACAGUGGCAGGUCUGAUCAGAGUGGACUUGCUCUCAAGCCACAGGUGAAACUCGUUAAGUCUGAACAACAGGGAGGAAAUUCUCCAACAUUUCAUUUUAGCUGGUCUGCCUGUCCCCUUCAGCAGGAAAACUGCUAUAUAAGCCCCCAGGAGCAGUCACUUCUGAAAACAGAGACUCACUGUUUUUCAACUGUCCUUACCCAAUUGCCUCACUGAAAUGCAAAUCAGUGGGAGUAUAAUAGAUAAUUAAUAG
Molecule: long non-coding RNA, 571 nt
Organism: Vombatus ursinus (common wombat)
Lineage: Eukaryota; Metazoa; Chordata; Mammalia; Diprotodontia; Vombatidae
Exons: 6
Source: RefSeq, a predicted model, not a curated record